RNAcentral lists this ribosomal RNA (1385 nucleotides) under uncultured bacterium. Its description in RNAcentral is "bacterial SSU rRNA". It matches the Rfam family "Bacterial small subunit ribosomal RNA", at positions 79 to 1456 of the family's 1533-position model. The record is from RNAcentral.
CUUGCUCUUGGCUGUCGAGUGGCGGACGGGUGAGUAACGCGUGGGAAUCUACCCAGUAGUGGGGGACAAGCCAGAGAAAUUUGGUCUAAUACCGCAUACCCUUUUAAGGAAAGGUGGCCUCUAUUGAUAAGCUAUCGCUAUUGGAUGAGCCCGCGUAAGAUUAGCUAGUUGGUGGGGUAAAAGCCUACCAAGGCAACGAUCUUUAGCUGGUCUGAGAGGAUGAUCAGCCACAUCGGGACUGAGACACGGCCCGGACUCCUACGGGAGGCAGCAGUGGGGAAUAUUGGACAAUGGGCGGAAGCCUGAUCCAGCAAUGCCGCGUGUGUGAAGAAGGCCUGAGGGUUGUAAAGCACUUUCAAUUGUGAGGAAGGGGUUAAGAUCAAUACCCUUGACCCUUGACGUUAACAUUAGAAGAAGCACCGGCUAACUCUGUGCCCAGCAGCCGCGGUAAUACAGAGGGUGCGAGCGUUUAUCCGGAAUUACUGGGCGUAAAGCGCGCGUAGGCGGCUAAUUAAGUCAGAUGUGAAAUCCCUGGGCUCAACCUAGGAACUGCCUCUGAAACUGGUUAGCUAGAGUUUAGAAGAGGGGAGUGGAAUUUCAGGUGUAGCGGUGAAAUGCAUAGAGAUCUGAAGGAACACCAGUGGCGAAGGCGACUCCCUGGUCUAGAACUGACGCUGAGGUGCGAAAGCGUGGGUAGCGAACGGGAUUAGAUACCCCGGUAGUCCACGCCGUAAACGAUGUCUACUAGUUGUUGGUCUCCUUGAGGGAUUAGUAACGCAGCUAACGCAUUAAGUAGACCGCCUGGGGAGUACGGUCGCAAGACUAAAACUCAAAGGAAUUGACGGGGGCCCGCACAAGCGGUGGAGCAUGUGGUUUAAUUCGAUGCAACGCGAAGAACCUUACCAUCCCUUGACAUCCAGAAAAUUCAGCAGAGAUGCAGAAGUGCCUUCGGGAAUUCUGUGACAGGUGCUGCACGGCUGUCGUCAGCUCGUGUCGUGAGAUGUUGGGUUAAGUCCCGCAACGAGCGCAACCCCUAUCCUUGGUUGCUAACAGGUAGAGCUGAGAACUCCAAGGAGACUGCCGGUGACAAACCGGAGGAAGGUGGGGACGACGUCAAGUCAUCAUGGCCCUUAUGGGAUGGGCUACACACGUGCUACAAUGGUCAGUACAGAGGGUCGCAACCCCGCGAGGGUGAGCUAAUCCCACAAAGCUGUUCGUAGUCCGGAUUGGAGUCUGCAACUCGACUCCAUGAAGUUGGAAUCGCUAGUAAUCGUAGAUCAGAAUGCUACGGUGAAUACGUUCCCGGGCCUUGUACACACCGCCCGUCACACCAUGGGAGUGGGCUGCAAAAGAAGUGAGUAGACAAACCUUCGGGAAGUCGCUCA